CCAACCCCCCCCAGGUGUCGAUCUCGAAGUGCCCGAUGUGGAUCUUGUCCACGUACUUCACCUUGGUGAUCUGAAACGGCAGGUAAAUCACACCUGAGACACACCUGGAUACACCUGAGACAGGUAAAUCACACCUGGGAUACACCUGAGAUAAACCUGGAUACACCUGAGAUACCCCAACCCCCC
Myiozetetes cayanensis is the source of this 186-nucleotide long non-coding RNA. RefSeq lists it as uncharacterized. NCBI's taxonomy places the organism in Eukaryota, Metazoa, Chordata, Aves, Passeriformes, Tyrannidae. The record is from RefSeq and is a predicted model, not a curated record. The transcript has 3 exons.